CCUACGGGAGGCAGCAGUGAGGAAUAUUGGUCAAUGGGCUUACGCCUGAACCAGCCAAGUCGCGUGAGGGAAGACUGCCCUAUGGGUUGUAAACCUCUUUUGUCAGGGAGCAACGCCGGCUACGUGUAGCCGGACUGAGAGUACCGGAAGAAAAGGCAUCGGCUAACUCCGUGCCAGCAGCCGCGGUAAUACGGAGGAUGCGAGCGUUAUCCGGAUUUAUUGGGUUUAAGGGGUGCGUAGGCAGAAUGCCAAGUCAGCGGUAAAAUCGCGGGGCUCAACCUCGCUCCGCCGUUGAAACUGGCGGUCUUGAGUGGGCGAGAAGUAUGCGGAAUGCGUGGUGUAGCGGUGAAAUGCAUAGAUAUCACGCAGAACUCCGAUUGCGAAGGCAGCAUACCGGCGCCCAACUGACGCUGAAGCACGAAAGCGUGGGUAUCGAACAGGAUUAGAUACCCCAGUAGUC
RNAcentral lists this ribosomal RNA (460 nucleotides) under uncultured bacterium. RNAcentral describes it as "partial 16S ribosomal RNA". It matches the Rfam family "Bacterial small subunit ribosomal RNA", at positions 338 to 795 of the family's 1533-position model. The record is from RNAcentral.